GGCGCGUUACCAGAGUGGUCUAAUGGCUAGGUCUGCAAAACCUCAGUUCGCGGGUUCAAAUCCCGCACGCGCCUCAA
Molecule: transfer RNA, 77 nt
Filed under: Candidatus Pacebacteria bacterium CG1_02_43_31
Lineage: Bacteria; Bacillati; Minisyncoccota
Also listed under: 3 other names
Description: tRNA-Cys
Rfam family: tRNA
About the family: Transfer RNA (tRNA) molecules are approximately 80 nucleotides in length. Their secondary structure includes four short double-helical elements and three loops (D, anti-codon, and T loops).
Source: RNAcentral